GAUGAACGCUGGCGGCGUGCCUAAUACAUGCAAGUCGAGCGAACAGACGAGGAGCUUGCUCCUCUGACGUUAGCGGCGGACGGGUGAGUAACACGUGCAUAACCUACCUAUAAGACUGGGAUAACUUCGGGAAACCGGAGCUAAUACCGGAUAAUAUAUUGAACCGCAUGGUUCAAUAGUGAAAGACGGUUUUGCUGUCACUUAUAGAUGGAUCCGCGCCGCAUUAGCUAGUUGGUAAGGUAACGGCUUACCAAGGCAACGAUGCGUAGCCGACCUGAGAGGGUGGUCGGCCACACUGGAACUGAGACACGGUCCAGACUCCUACGGGAGGCAGCAGUAGGGAAUCUUCCGCAAUGGGCGAAAGCCUGACGGAGCAACGCCGCGUGAGUGAUGAAGGUCUUCGGAUCGUAAAACUCUGUUAUUAGGGAAGAACAAAUGUGUAAGUAACUAUGCACGUCUUGACGGUACCUAAUCAGAAAGCCACGGCUAACUACGUG
This 497-nucleotide ribosomal RNA is filed under the name uncultured bacterium. Its description in RNAcentral is "partial 16S ribosomal RNA". It matches the Rfam family "Bacterial small subunit ribosomal RNA", at positions 28 to 507 of the family's 1533-position model. The record is from RNAcentral.